GACGAACGCUGGCGGCAUGCCUAAUACAUGCAAGUCGAGCGAACAGAUGAAGUGCUUGCACUUCUGACGUUAGCGGCGAACGGGUGAGUAACACGUAAGGAAUCUACCUAUAAGCGGGGGAUAACAUUCGGAAACGGGUGCUAAUACCGCAUAAUAUCUUCUUCCGCAUGGAAGAAGAUUGAAAGACGGCUCUGCUGUCACUUAUAGAUGACCUUGCGGUGCAUUAGUUAGUUGGUGGGGUAACGGCCUACCAAGACGAUGAUGCAUAGCCGACCUGAGAGGGUGAUCGGCCACAUUGGGACUUGAGACCACGGCCCAA
RNAcentral lists this ribosomal RNA (319 nucleotides) under uncultured bacterium. RNAcentral's name for it is "bacterial SSU rRNA". It matches the Rfam family "Bacterial small subunit ribosomal RNA", at positions 28 to 334 of the family's 1533-position model. The record is from RNAcentral.